AAGCAAAGCAAAGAAUGUUUUAUUAAAAGACUUAUAGGACACACACAUAAGAAGGGUUAACACAGCGUUCAGGAUAGUACCUGACUCGACAGUAAAAGGCAAUUUGCUGUCUCCUCAAAUUGUUCAAUAGGUUUGUACAUCUUUUUUAAAGAUUUCUUUAUUAUUAUUUGUAUGUAAGUACACUGUAGCUGACUUCAGACACACCAGAAGAGGGCAUCAGGUCCCAUUACGGUUGGUUGUGAACCACCAUGUGGUUGCUGGGAUUUGAACUCAGGACCUUUGGAAGAGCACUCAGUGCUCUUACCCGCUGAGCCAUCUCACCAGCCCCCUGUACAUCUCAUUUUUAUUUAGUUGACAUAUGUAUAAAACAUAUUUCUUAUACUUUAUUUUAUUUACCUAUGUAUUCAUAUAUAUUUAUGUACAUCCUUUUUAUUUCACACACACACACACACACACACACACACACACACACGACAUGAUUGAUUUCACACAACCACUACUAUAUGGUUCAAAAGAGAAUCAGAGCUUACUGGAUAAAAGGAAUUGAAAGGAAUACAAAUUUGAAAGACAGAAAACAUUUCAGAAUGUGAAAAAUAUAAUCAGGAUCGAAGCAGAAAAGAAGGCAGGCAGCAGUGGGAAACAAUGGACGUAAAUUUUGCAGCAAUCUAUGAUAUUUAUAUUGGUAGGGAAUAUAGUUUCAGCAGAAUGCAGGGAUUCUCCUAUGCGCUCACAGGGGAUCUGUAUGCCUCACACUGGAAACAAUAGAGACUUUGUGUUAGUAGUCACUCAUUUAGGCAACAAGAAAUAAUUGUGGCAAACUGAAAUGAGAGGGGGUGGUUUUGUUUGUUUGUUUUUAAAGACAGGGAUGAGGGGAGGGGGAUGGGCGAGGGAGGGAGAAAGAGGAAAGACUGAAUAGUUUAUUGGAUAGGCAAUAUAGUCUAGGAAUCCAAAAACUCUGGGAAUACAGAUGGCAUCGACUGGCUCUUAGAGCUUUUGAUUUCAACUAACUUCUAUUUCCAGAUGCCAGUUCGCAGGAGUCUGACUGGCCCACGGUUUGUUUUCCUCUAUGUGAUCCAGGAUCUGUAGAACAACUGCUGAUCAUUAGAAUAUGGGAAAUAUUGAGUAGAUAGAUAGUCUACCAAAGGAAGAAAUGGUGAAGACAUAUACACACAUCCACGUGCACACACAGAUAGUAUGGAUUCUACCAAGUAUGGUAACUAGGCAAAACCCAAGAAUGACUGCAUUCACAUAACUAAUCCUGAGAUAACACAAACGUGUAAUAGGUUAGUUGAAAGUAGGGUUCGUGGUCCUCGUGGUAAUAAAGUUUUCCCUUUAGGAUGUCUUGAACUUUGUCUCUGCAACUUGUUUCCCUCUCAGCUAACAUACCCAAAUUGCUACACACUGCCUCUGAUACGAAACUCAGAUCAGCCAUCCUUUGCAAAAGACCUAUUGGCUCAACCAGCAGAAAACAAAGAUAUAUAAAGCAAUAGGAGUGAUGAUGCACACCUGUAAUCCUAGUUUUGGGGAGACGGAGGCAGAAAGAUCAGGAGUUGAAGGCCUCCUUCCUCAGCUACAAGAGGAGUUGGAGGUCAGCAUCUCACACAAAGGCAAACAACCGCACUGCGAGACAGCAGACCUGAGCACUAGUAAAGCCACUCAAACGCUGUUAACCCCCAUUUAAAAAUUUAUUAUCAAAGCUCCCUAUUCCGAUUCUUCAAAAGUCGAAGAACCUGCGGAGCGACGAACCCCUGGGACCAUCGCAAGCCGAACCGCGCCUACAGAACUGAGGUUCCCAGAGAAAGGGGCAUAGCAGGGGCGUGGGGGGUAGGAGGAUGCCGCACAUGCGCACAAGCUCCCAGGUCAACAAAGACGGCGGCGUACGCGCGCGCACCAGAGCCAUUCACCGAGGACGUGCGCGUGCCCGGCCGCCGCAGCGAGGUGCCAGCGGCCCAGGGGACAGAAGGAAAGGAGGGGCAGGAGCCACCGGCCGCGGCGGGAGGAGGAGGAGGAGGAGGAGGAGACGGGGUUGUGCUCCUGGGCAGCUGAGGAGCGAGGGGCGGGGCCGGCGAGCGGCGCGUGCAGGUGCCAGGCUCCCGGGCUCCGGCUGGCGCGCGAGCGGCUCCGUGGGCCCCCGCCGCCGCAGUGGCAGUGGCCGCCGCCGCCGCCGCUUGGUCGCCGUCGGUCUGCGGGAAGCGGGUUAUGGCGGCGGCGGCAGUGGGAGCUGUGAAUGAGUUCUCCGGCCGGACGACGGAAGAAGAAAGGCUCGGGCGGCGCGAGCCCGGCGCCCGCCAGGCCUCCGCCCCCCGCCGCGGUCCCCGCCCCUGCCGCCGGCCCGGCCCCUGCGGCCGGCUCGCCGCCUAAGCGGAACCCGUCUUCUUUCUCGUCCCCGCUGGUCGUCGGCUUCGCCCUGCUGCGCCUGCUGGCCUGCCACCUGGGGCUCCUCUUCGCGUGGCUCUGCCAGCGCUUCUCCCGCGCCCUCAUGGCCGCCAAGAGGAGCUCCGGGACCGCGCCGGCGCCCGCCUCGCCCUCGCCCCCAGAGCCCGGACCGGGUGGCGAGGCCGAGAGCGUCCGCGUCUUCCACAAGCAGGCCUUCGAGUACAUCUCCAUUGCCCUGCGCAUCGACGAGGAAGAGAAAGCAGGACAGAAGGAACAAGCUGUGGAAUGGUAUAAGAAAGGUAUCGAAGAACUGGAAAAAGGAAUCGCUGUUAUAGUUACGGGCCAAGGUGAACAGUAUGAAAGAGCUAGACGUCUUCAAGCCAAAAUGAUGACUAAUUUAGUUAUGGCCAAGGACCGUUUACAACUUCUAGAGAAGCUGCAACCAGUUUUGCAAUUUUCCAAGUCACAGACGGACGUCUAUAACGAGAGUACUAACCUGACAUGCCGCAAUGGACAUCUCCAGUCAGAAAGUGGAGCAGUUCCGAAGAGGAAAGACCCCUUAACACAUGCUAGUAAUUCAUUGCCUCGAUCAAAAACUGUCCUGAAAAGUGGCUCCGCAGGGCUCUCCGGUCACCACAGGGCGCCUAGUUGCAGUGGUUUGUCCAUGGUUUCUGGAGCAAGACCGGGACCUGGUCCUGCAGCUACCACACAUAAGGGUACUCCAAAACCAAAUAGAACCAACAAACCUUCUACUCCCACAACUGCAGUUCGGAAAAAGAAAGACUUGAAAAAUUUUAGGAAUGUGGACAGCAAUCUUGCUAACCUUAUAAUGAAUGAAAUUGUUGACAAUGGGACAGCUGUUAAGUUUGAUGACAUAGCCGGGCAGGAGCUGGCAAAGCAAGCGCUGCAGGAGAUUGUCAUCCUUCCUUCUCUGCGGCCUGAGUUGUUCACAGGGCUCAGAGCUCCUGCUAGAGGCUUGUUACUCUUCGGUCCGCCAGGAAACGGAAAAACAAUGCUGGCUAAAGCAGUAGCUGCAGAGUCUAAUGCGACCUUUUUCAACAUAAGUGCUGCCAGUUUAACUUCAAAAUAUGUGGGAGAAGGAGAGAAAUUGGUGAGAGCUCUCUUUGCUGUGGCUCGAGAACUUCAACCAUCUAUAAUUUUUAUAGAUGAAGUUGACAGUCUUUUGUGUGAGAGACGGGAAGGGGAGCACGACGCUAGCAGACGGCUAAAGACGGAAUUUUUAAUAGAAUUUGACGGGGUGCAAUCUGCUGGAGAUGACAGAGUACUUGUAAUGGGUGCAACUAACAGGCCCCAAGAGCUUGAUGAAGCUGUUCUCAGACAAGACUCCUUCUGCUUAAAAACCUGUUGUGUAAACAAGGAAGUCCACUGACCCAAAAAGAACUCGCACAGCUUGCUAGAAUGACCGAUGGAUACUCUGGAAGUGAUCUGACCGCUUUGGCCAAGGAUGCAGCCCUGGGUCCUAUCCGAGAACUGAAGCCAGAGCAGGUGAAGAAUAUGUCUGCCAGUGAGAUGAGAAAUAUUCGAUUAUCUGACUUCACAGAAUCCUUAAAAAAGAUAAAACGCAGUGUGAGUCCUCAGACCUUAGAAGCAUACAUACGCUGGAACAAGGAUUUUGGAGACACCACUGUUUAAAGGAAUGGAUGCCUCUGUGAGCCCAUAGAACAUCGCACUUCACAGGAAACAAGAGCUUUGGCUACAGGAACCCAGACUUCGUUUACAGGACGUUUUAGAGUUUUCAUUUUUGUGCACCAAACUUGAAGAGGAACAAGAAGACAGACCUAAAUAAAAUAUGCAAUAUGAAUGGAAUUUUUGUUCAAGGCCUUCUUGCGUGAUGGUGAUGGUUUUGUUUUCUCAGUGGGCACUGUUAGUUAGAGCACAGCAAAAACAGAUUCUGGUUCAUUACUGAUUAUAAUCAUUCUGUAAAUAAUAAUUUGUACAUUGCAUCCAGAUGACAGUAUUGCAGAGACAGUGGGUGGUGGAAGACACAGAGCCCUCCCCCCGGUGUCUGUCUCCUGGUGUCUGUCUUGCAGCAGUCUGGUUUCUGGUUUCCUGUCCUACUGUUCCUUAGCUGUAUCCCUGUGAUUGGGAUAGCAAGCGUUCUGAGCUCUUCCUGCUUCCUUACCAGCUCAGUGUGCCAAGUGGAAAUCUUCCCAUCUGCAGUGAGAGCUGUAGUGAGACUCUUGUCCACCUGGAUACACAACCAUUAAACACUUAGUGAGUUCUUCACCUGGAUACACAACCAUUAGACACUUAGUGGGUUCUUUCACAUUCUGUUUUUCUCUUUUAUUGCCUUGCUGCCAAACAGUUUAGAAAGCAACUUAAUAGCAACAGCAAGAGAAAAUGUGGCACAACCAGGGUUUGAGAGUUUGAGUCACUCUGUGUAGCAUGUGCAUCAGUCCUUGUGUGCCCUGCAGUAUUUUUUUCUAAUAUGCCAGAAAUCCACUGUAGACUUAACUUACUCCAUCUGGAAUUCAUUUUUGUUGAAGUUAUUCUAAUACUUUAGAGAGCCAGUUUUAACUCAUAAAUUGAGGUACCAGUGUGAGAGAAGGGACAUAUUAGGAGCUAAGACAUUUCUAACUUAUUGCUUAUCACUUUCUUACUGUUUACAGACAACUAAAUGCCAGUGGCACUACCACCUCUACUAAUUACUGUCCCUUCAAUGAAACUUAAAAUACCGAAUUUUUCUACACGGCAUAUGUUUUAUAGGUUUCUUGUGCUUACUUUGUAACUAAAAAGCGCUAGCCUAAUGGUCUACCUUUUGUUUCUGUAAAAUGUAUAGUAAUUCGUUGUUGUUUGUGUAAAUAUGGCUGGACUUUUAUUAUAAAAAUGCAUUAUAGGAAGUAGAGGCUCAUGUGAGGCCUUUUAAGAACUGUAUAAAGGCAAAUAGAUAUUUGCCAUUAGUUUACUGGUUAAAAGUUUGUUUACAGAAUUUUUCUUUGGUGCUUAAACGAUGCUAUGUAAAACUUCAUGGGUAGAAGGGAUAAUUCUGUGGUAGCAACACCAACAUCUCAUGUAAGAAACAUGUCUGAGAAAACAUACUAAAAUCCUUGCUCUUUCCCCCUCUUUCCCCCAGAUAAAAUUUUUAUGAUAAAGACAUACAUCCUCAAUUUUACCCUUGCUCUUGUUAAAGAUUUAUUACUUAAAUAUAGAAGAUGGAUUAUUUCUUUUCCUAGGAUCAUAUGCUGUUUAUAGCUGUAAUUUAAAUCAUAUCUCUUAAUUAUGAUUUUAGACAUCCCUGGAUCAUAAAAAUGAAGUUUUGAUCAAUAGGAAAACAAAUUUAACCAAAGCUGUGCAUAGUUUUUGUUGUGGGCAGUGUCUUUUUAAGGUCUCAAAUGUUAAUGCAUCAGUUAUAAAAUACUGAUAGUCCCACCCGGUGAUGGUGCGAGGAACUGCAGCAGUCCUAAGCAGACAUCUACAAUCAGGCUCUAAAGCUGCACCGCUUUCACUUAGGAGGGGCAGUAACAUUCCCCCUGUUUAUGUAUUAAGACAGGCAUCAGCUCAAUGGUUAAACAGAAGAGCCUUUAAGAUCAGGGUUCAUUCUUGAUUCUUUAAGGACAAAUUUUAGGUGGUAAAAAUUUUAAAUGUCUAAAAGAUACAAAAUGAAGUUAACCCAAAACUCAAAGUUAUUGCUGUGUGACUGUCCAUCACUCACUGUAGAGAAGCACCUCUGUUCAUCAGGUCGUAGGUUCAGCUCCUGUUAAUGUUUUCUGUGAUGCUGUAUGACCCAGGUAGAUUGUAGGCCAUUUUGUUACUGUCUUUUAAGAUAGGGUUUCAUGGAGCCUAAGCUGGCCUAGAACUCAAUGGGUAGCCUAUAAAUAAAUACCUUAAACUGAUCUUCAUGCCUGCAUCUCCCAAGUGCUGGGGGUGCUGCUGGUGUGCAUCCCACAUCAGGAUGUUUGCUCUUUUUCAGAUAGAAGUUGCUGGGAUUUCCAAAUUAACAUUAGAUUUUUGUGUUGAGCUCUGUUUACUGUUGAAGAUAAUGUUUAAAUAAUAAGGAUUGGUAGCUCAUGUUAACAUGACAGAGUCCUUGUAAGCUCGGUGAACUUACUGAUCACCUAACUGAGCCAAAGGAAAGACUCAAUACAAUCUUUCCAAAUCUGCUAGGGCUACAAAACUUUUCUGAGACUAGAUGCCCAUUGGAUUUAUUUUUGUCUCUUUGCGUUUAACAGGACAAACAGAAUUUGAAAUUACAUGUAUGUGGCAUUCUUUGUUUAUACUGUAAAAUUGUUUAUAUAUCAUACAAAAGCUAAUUCUUUGAUAGACUGAACUGCUUAAUGGUUUGCUUUUUGUUUUCUUAAGUCAGGUUUUCCUUUAAAUGUCUGUCUCAGUUUUAGUCUUACUUUUACUUCUGCGAAGCAAAUGACUUAAAGGGUGCAUACAGCUACAUAACGUGGGGUUUUGUUGUAAAUAAAUGACAAACUUUGUUUUGCCUUAA
Molecule: RNA transcript, 6832 nt
Organism: Mus musculus (house mouse)
Lineage: Eukaryota; Metazoa; Chordata; Mammalia; Rodentia; Muridae
Gene: Spast
Gene name: spastin
Exons: 16
Source: RefSeq, marked validated